GCGCUAGCCGAGAGCAAAAGCAGCUGCACAAAUACCAAACACCGAUACCAACCGUUACAGUUUCAGACGGAGAGAGAGAAGGGGGGGAGCAAAUUAUGACCGCCCGCGCCUCCUCCGAUUCUCAAAAAGCCAAAAAUAGAACAAAACAACGACGGCGACGGCGACCACCAGCUAGUAGCAAAACCGAAAUCGAUGACCGAAGAAGAGAACGGUGGAGAAGAAGGAGGACAGGAAGGCGCCAGUGGAGAAGAGCAAGAGGAGGCUUUGGUUGCGUUGAUCGAACACCGUGCGCAUGAAGUU
RNAcentral lists this unclassified non-coding RNA (300 nucleotides) under Hevea brasiliensis (rubber tree). The record is from RNAcentral. Lineage: Eukaryota; Viridiplantae; Streptophyta; Magnoliopsida; Malpighiales; Euphorbiaceae.